This 502-nucleotide ribosomal RNA is filed under the name uncultured bacterium. Its description in RNAcentral is "bacterial SSU rRNA". It matches the Rfam family "Bacterial small subunit ribosomal RNA", at positions 28 to 517 of the family's 1533-position model. The record is from RNAcentral.
GAUGAACGCUAGCUACAGGCUUAACACAUGCAAGUCGAGGGGAAACGACAUUGGAAGCUUGCUUCCGAUGGGCGUCGACCGGCGCACGGGUGAGUAACGCGUAUCCAACCUGCCCACCACUUGGGAAUAACCUUGCGAAAGUAAGACUAAUGCCCAAUGACAUUGAGUGCAGACAUCUAAUCUCAAUUAAAGAUUUAUCGGUGAUGGAUGGGGAUGCGUCCGAUUAGCUUGUUGGCGGGGUAACGGCCCACCAAGGCAACGAUCGGUAGGGGUUCUGAGAGGAAGGUCCCCCACAUUGGAACUGAGACACGGUCCAAACUCCUACGGGAGGCAGCAGUGAGGAAUAUUGGUCAAUGGGCGAGAGCCUGAACCAGCCAAGUAGCGUGCAGGAUGACGGCCCUAUGGGUUGUAAACUGCUUUUAUAAGGGAAUAAAGUGAGAGUCGUGACUCUUUUUGCAUGUACCUUAUGAAUAAGGACCGGCUAAUUCCGUGCCAGCAGCCG